Molecule: long non-coding RNA, 3305 nt
Organism: Chinchilla lanigera (long-tailed chinchilla)
Lineage: Eukaryota; Metazoa; Chordata; Mammalia; Rodentia; Chinchillidae
Source: Ensembl
GGUGUGGUCUGAGCUUCUCCACCUCAGGCCACAUCGGCUCCCUGGUCCCUGUGGUCCGAGGCUUCCUCCUGCCCUGUGUGUUCCGUGGACAGGGUGGUUCUGACCUCCUGGCUGAGGCUCUGUCCAUCUCCCAGCCCAGAGGCCGGCACCCAGGAACAGAGGCCUGCAGAAGACCUCACUCCUGCCCGAGGACCCAGCCUCCCUGCCUGCCGCCCCUCACGGCCACCUGACACCUCCUUGUGUGCCCAGCUCCAGCCCAGCAGCCGCCCAGGAAGGAAACCUCUAUGCCACCGUGAAGGACACAGAGCCUGAGGACGGGGUGGAGCUGGACACUCGGAGCCCACCUGCUGAGGACCCCCGAGGAAUGAUGUAUGCCCAGGUGAAGCACUCAGCACCCAGGAGGAGAAGGACCUCCCCUCCUUUGGCCCUGUCAGGGCAGCUCCUGGUCACUAAGGACAGACAGGCUGUGGCCCCUCAGAGUCCCCAGGACGUGACCUAUGCCCAGCUGGGCAGCUGGACGCUCAGACAGGGGGCAGCUGCACCUCCUUCCUCCCAGGAUGGGGCCCUCCCAGCAGAGCCCACUGUGUACGCUGCCCUGGCACCCACUCGCCCAGGAGCCGGUCAAAAGACGCUAAGUGACGCCUCGGCCAGGGACACCUGACAGAGACUCCAGAGAUUCCGGGACCUUCUGAGACUCACCUGACCCUGUGGUCAGAGAGAUCUCACACCUCUGUGUGCUGGAACUAAAACCAGAGAUUCUCCAAUAGCCACCGAGUGAAUGAGAAAUGGAAUCAUGGGAGAGGAGGUGUGAAAUGACUGAUAACGUUAAUGACAGCAGACAGCAAAAUACUCUCUAUAACUCAAUGAAUCCAGCUAUGAUGUAAAAACUUUUAGAAAAAGAAUGUGGAAUUGCUCUAAGUAAAGGUAAAGAUAAAAGAUUAGCUCCCCCCUGGGGAGAGUUGGCACAUAUUUCAACAUAGAGAAAGAGCAGAUAGCAUGACACGUUACCUACGUUUUAAAAGAAUAAUAGCGAAAAAUUAUGAGCAACUUUUCCAACAUAUUAGAAGUACAAGAUCUCCAAGUACAUGAUGGACUACAUGGAGGUAAAUAUAAAUAGAAAAUCUGAAUCCUUUCAUGUACACUAAACCUAUUGACAGUAAUUUAAAAAUCUCAAGCCAGGCGUGGUGGCUCACGGCUGUAAUCUCAGAACUCAGGAGGCUGAGGCAGGAGGAUCAUUGCAAAUUCAAGACCAGCCUGGGCUACAAAGUGAGUUCAAGGCCAGCCUGAACUGCAUAGUGGGACCCAGUCUCAAAAACACACACACAAAAAAAAUCCUAGUUCAAGUUGUAGUUCAGAAAGUGUUGCUAGAAAUUUCUCACCCACAUUUACACAAUUAUGACACAGGCACAGUUCCAAGCUUAGAGGCUCUUCUGGCAGCUACAAAAAGAGAAAAUAUAGUCCUACACAUUUCAUCAGGCAAGGAAAUCCCUCAUGCCAAACCUCAACAAGGAAUCCACAAAAUGGGGGAGUCACAGGAAUCGUGUCUCCUGUCCACUUACAUGUGACUUCCUAGAAAGAAUUCAAAUUCCAGCCACUUGGGAGGCUGAGGCAAGAGGAUCUCAAGUCUGAUGCCAGCCUGGGCUGCACGGUGAGAUGUUGUCUCAGAAUAAAAUAAAAGCCCUGGGAAUGUGGCUCAGUGUCAUUCCCUUAGUUCAAACACCAGCGCUACAAAAAAAAUUUUUGAAGGUUUAGAGAUACAGUAAGACCCCAACUUACAAGUGAGUUCCAUUCUGGGAGAAUGUUUGUAAAUUGGAUUCUCUGUCAUCUGACAAAGAGUGUCUUACACGGUACACUGUGAAAGUUUCCAAGUGGAAUGUUCCUAAGUCAGGGAGUUAGUGCAUAUAAAAAGGCAAUAUAUCACUGCCGCACUAGGAUUCUUCUUGUUUGGUUUGGCUUGGUUUGGUUUGGUUUGGUUAGAAAGGCUAGAGUAGCUGCAAAUGUAAAUAUUUAAUCAACACAAUCAAACACAGUACCAGAUCACGUCGGUGUUACCACAUCCAUGCAUGCAGGCAAGGCUUCCCGCACGCUACGCCGAUCCCUCACAGUCAAAGUAAAACCUCAUGAGAACUUGAAGGAAUUUCCUGUCAUUACAGAGGCAUGUUUAAAGUCUCCCUGACCAGCAUCUUCAAGGUGAGACUUGAAGUCUGAGCCUGGGCUUAGGACCAAGCCAAGGCUGCUCCUGUGACCACUGCCCCUGGCACAGCCCCAGCAGUAGCAGCGUUAGGUAAACCGAGCUGAGGAGCACUGAUGUGGCAAGAGUAACGUCGCAUCACUCACCUAAGACACAGCAGUGAGCACAGGACCCCCAGCAGCACAAGGAUGCUUUACUGCGGCUAGAAGGGAAUAUUUCCAAUAAAAGUGGAGCCCACGGCCAAUAUACAAAAAUCAAUUGUGCUGCAGACUUGCAGGUCCUUUUACAUCUCAAUUAUUUCACUUUUUAUUUGCAUAUAUUUAUUUUAUUUUAUUUUACAGAAGAAAACAAAAUUUCAUAACCAAAUAAGAGAAUAACACUAAUUAGUGCACAGUGUUUCAUAAUCUUAAGGGUAGUUAGAGUACAUGACAUGGACAGGAAAGACUCUUACAAGGAAAAAUAAAUAAUAAUUGUUUCAUGCUGUUUGUAUUACUAUUAUUUUUCAAUAGAACUUCAAAUCUGAGACUGUGAUGUCUCCUGCUUUGCUCUUGUCAUCCAGAAUUGAUUUUGCCAUUCAGGGUCAUUCCUGACUCCAUAUGAAAUUUAACAUUAUUUUAUCUAGUUCUAUCAACAACUCUGUUGUAAUUUUAAUGGGAUUGUGUUAGAUCUGUGUGUCAGUUUUGUAAAUAUGGCUAUUUUGGGUUUUGUUUUGUUUUGGUUUGGUUUGGUUUGGUUUGGUUUUUUUUUUCCGGUACUGGGAAUCAAACUCACAACUUUGUGCUUGCCAGGCAGGCGCUGUGCUACUGAGCUAAAUCCUCAGCCCCAGUAUGGCUAUUUUGAAACUCCUGGUUCUGCCUGCCCAGGAGAAGGGGAUAUCUUUCUAAUUUCUGAUCUUCCCUUUGAAUUCCUUUUUCAGAGUUCUAUAGUAUUCAUUAUAGAAGCCUUUCCCUUCCUGGUUUAGAUUAAUUCCUGGUGUUCUGUAAGCCAUGGAAAAUGAGAAGGGAGAGAUUAAAGUGAGAUGAAGGAUGCUAUGAAGCAGUCAAAGGAAAUUGAUAUUAUUAGACAAAAGUAAAAAAAAAAAAAAAACUAAAAGAAGAGAAGGAACACAAAGCAA